UUGGCACAUUUUACUCUUCUGGCAGCUGGAGAGAGCUCUGACCUGUGUCUCAUCAGUGAAUGCUGGUUGUGACAAUAAUGAAUUUCUAAUGGCAAUUAACACAGUGACAGGGUUUAUAAAUUAUAGAUUAUGACAACACUCCCUGCGAUCUGGUUUUUUCCUUUGAAGACCACCUGGCUACCAAUAACGGUCUCACCAGCCAAAUCCUGUAUUUGUGGGCCAAGACAGAAGAAGAACAACAAUGAAAAAAAGCUGGAAAUCUUAGAGCAGACUCACAUCUUAACUAGGAGAAUACGUGCUGGCCCAAGUGCCCCAGGACUGAAGCAAAUCAGACAUAGGGGAGGAGGGAGAAUGUUAGAAUGAGGCACACCUGAUUCAGCCGCUAAAUAGUCUGGUUGGCUAAGAAUCACAAUCGAGGCAUUUUGCCUUUCUAGUUUUCUUUGGUGAAGAUCUGUGAGCAUCCAAAUGAUAUGAAGAGCAAUAUGGCUAAUCUGCACUACUUCGGAAGCCUGGGAGGAAUACUUCCUCUUUGCUGGAUGUGGCGUCUGCGUGUACCAUCUGGAAUUGCUGUAGCCAACUUACAAAUACAGACGAAAGCUUUAUCAACCUGCUGAGCACAGCAGAAUGGAAAGAUGCAAAGCACCCUGCUCUUGGGAACUGGCCACCUUCAGACUUCUUGCUACAUCAGGUUUUAUCUACUACAAAGGAUAUCACUUGGGAAGGAAUUUCUUGAAACUGCUCCCAAGAGAGCCAUUGGACCAUGUGGUAAACAACUCCUAGCUGAUGGAUUAUUGGGAAUAUUAACAUCAUCCAGAAUGCUAUGGGGAGAAGACAACUGGAAGCUCCGUGUGGACAAACCUCCUGGACUCUGCCCCACAUAUCUCUUCCCUUGGCUGAUUUGAAUUUGUAUCCUUUCACUGUGAUAAACCACAACCAGAUUAUUACAGCUGUCAGCAAGUUCUUCUAUUGAAUUGUUGAAACUGAGGGUGGUCUUGGGAACCCCUGAACUCUACUGUUGGUGUCAGGAGUGAGGGAAGUCUUGUGGACUGUACUCCCUGACCUCACAGGUGCAUUUUCCAACUUUAUUUGGACAUUCCCCAACAACAUCAUCCCCUUCUUCAAAUAUGUUUCUGCUACAAACAUUGUCCUUUAGAUGGUUCCUUUGCUGCCAUUAUGACUAUGGCGUAAUCUGUAGUAAAGCACCAUUAAGAUGUUAAUACAGAUGUAUGUGUGAAUUAAAAAGUGAUGCUAAAUGCAUAGUAACCAAUUUACUUCGCAUUAAUAAUUUAGCUAUUUUUAUUUGUUUCUAAACAAAAAGCAAAGAGGAUCCAGUCCAGAGAGCAGUUGCAACAGUGUGCACAAUUUUUAUUAAACCGAAAUAAAAGUUCUUGGGCUAUGGAA
This is a long non-coding RNA of Homo sapiens (human), 1401 nucleotides long. Ensembl annotates it as long intergenic non-protein coding RNA 1915. The record is from Ensembl. NCBI's taxonomy places the organism in Eukaryota, Metazoa, Chordata, Mammalia, Primates, Hominidae.